RNAcentral lists this ribosomal RNA (1631 nucleotides) under Listeria monocytogenes. RNAcentral describes it as "bacterial LSU rRNA". It matches the Rfam family "Bacterial large subunit ribosomal RNA". The record is from RNAcentral. Lineage: Bacteria; Bacillati; Bacillota; Bacilli; Caryophanales; Listeriaceae.
GGUUAAGUUAGAAAGGGCGCACGGUGGAUGCCUUGGCACUAGGAGCCGAAGAAGGACGGGACUAACACCGAUAUGCUUUGGGGAGCUGUACGUAAGCGUUGAUCCAGAGAUUUCCGAAUGGGGGAACCCACUAUCUUUAGUCGGAUAGUAUCCUUACGUGAAUACAUAGCGUGAGGAAGGCAGACCCAGGGAACUGAAACAUCUAAGUACCUGGAGGAAGAGAAAGAAAAAUCGAUUUCCUGAGUAGCGGCGAGCGAAACGGAAAGAGCCCAAACCAAGAAGCUUGCUUCUUGGGGUUGUAGGACACUCUAUACGGAGUUACAAAAGAAAGUUAUAAAUGAAGCGGUCUGGAAAGGCCCGCCAAAGACGGUAACAGCCCGGUAGUUGAAAUGGCUUUCUCUCCAGAGUGGAUCCUGAGUACGGCGGAACACGUGAAAUUCCGUCGGAAUCCGGGAGGACCAUCUCCCAAGGCUAAAUACUCCCUAGUGACCGAUAGUGAACCAGUACCGUGAGGGAAAGGUGAAAAGCACCCCGGAAGGGGAGUGAAACAGUUCCUGAAACCGUGUGCCUACAAGUAGUUAGAGCCCGUUAAUGGGUGAUAGCGUGCCUUUUGUAGAAUGAACCGGCGAGUUACGAUUUGUUGCAAGGUUAAGCGGAAAAAGCGGAGCCGUAGCGAAAGCGAGUCUGAAUAGGGCGCAUAAGUAACAGGUCGUAGACCCGAAACCAGGUGAUCUACCCAUGUCCAGGAUGAAGGUAAGGUAAUACUUACUGGAGGUCCGAACCCACGCACGUUGAAAAGUGCGGGGAUGAGGUGUGGGUAGCGGAGAAAUUCCAAUCGAACUUGGAGAUAGCUGGUUCUCUCCGAAAUAGCUUUAGGGCUAGCAUACGAGGAGGCAAUGGUGGGAUACUACCCUGGCUGUAUGACCAUUCUAACCCGCCACGCUUAGCGCGUGGGGAGACAGUGUCAGGUGGGCAGUUUGACUGGGGCGGUCGCCUCCUAAAGAGUAACGGAGGCGCCCAAAGGUUCCCUCAGAAUGGAUGGAAAUCAUUCGCAGAGUGUAAAGGCACAAGGGAGCUUGACUGCGAGACUGACAAGUCGAGCAGGGACGAAAGUCGGGCUUAGUGAUCCGGUGGUUCCGCAUGGAAGGGCCAUCGCUCAACGGAUAAAAGCUACCCCGGGGAUAACAGGCUUAUCUCCCCCAAGAGUCCACAUCGACGGGGAGGUUUGGCACCUCGAUGUCGGCUCGUCGCAUCCUGGGGCUGUAGUCGGUCCCAAGGGUUGGGCUGUUCGCCCAUUAAAGCGGCACGCGAGCUGGGUUCAGAACGUCGUGAGACAGUUCGGUCCCUAUCCGUCGCGGGCGCAGGAAAUUUGAGAGGAGCUGUCCUUAGUACGAGAGGACCGGGAUGGACACACCGCUGGUGUACCAGUUGUUCCGCCAGGAGCAUCGCUGGGUAGCUAUGUGUGGCAGGGAUAAACGCUGAAAGCAUCUAAGCGUGAAGCCCCCCUCAAGAUGAGAUUUCCCAUUUCUUCGGAAAGUAAGAUCCCUGAAAGAUGAUCAGGUAGAUAGGUUUGGAGUGGAAGUGUAGCGAUACAUGGAGCGGACAAAUACUAAUCGAUCGAGGACUUAACC